GUUUGUGUAUUGAAUUUUUUAUUUUUAAUAUUAAAGAGCUUUGUUAAACUUAGACUUAAGUUUAGGUCAUUUUGGGGGUUUAGCUCAGUUGGCUAGAGCAUCGGCUUUGCAAGCCGAGGGUCAAGGGUUCGAGUCCCUUAACCUCCAUUGGGCUUAUGUCCUAAAUCGUAAUUAAGUAUGUUUUUAAGUAACUUUGUUAAAGUAAUUGUUGGAACGUGAAACAGAGGAAGUUAAAAUUUCUGGGUUAAGUUGAGAUCUGUUGAUAUUAAGAAGAAUCUCUAGAAGCAAAAGCAAGCUUUCGAUAAAACCCGAAGUUGUUUCGCUAAAGUGCAAGGAUUAAACAGGAUUGUAUUUUCCAGUAGCCUAUUUUAUAAAUGAUCUGCAUUUAGUAAAUAGUUUUUAGUUAAGAAAUAAUGUAGAUUGCUAAGUGUGAUGCCUGAAAGAAGGACAAGUAUUGUAGCGAGCCUAAAUCCUUGUUGUCGUUGCCAGUAUUUAGUGGUAGGGAUUCGGAUAAGACUGCCAUUUAUAAGUUGGAGGAAGGCAAAGAUUGCAUUAAAUCGUUAUCGCUCUUAUGUUUUAGGUUACAAGUUUGCCACAAUAACCCAAAAAAGCUAAGCAAAAUGCUAUAAAGCAGAUUUCAGUUUGGAUUUGCCCGACACUCAAUGGCAUGAAGUUGUAAUUGUUAGUAAUCGCAUAUACCUUAAUAUAGAAAUUGAAUAAAUUUUUGUUUUUUUAAUUAUAGCUUAAAACAGUAUUGUCGUAA
This 763-nucleotide transfer RNA is filed under the name Borreliella burgdorferi (Lyme disease spirochete). RNAcentral's name for it is "partial 16S-23S ribosomal RNA intergenic spacer". The stretch from base 74 to 147 matches the Rfam family "tRNA". The record is from RNAcentral. Lineage: Bacteria; Pseudomonadati; Spirochaetota; Spirochaetia; Spirochaetales; Borreliaceae.